AGUGGAUGGGGAGCAACCUAGUUGUGCGUGUGUAAAGGUAGUGCCAAGAAAAGCGAUGAUCAUGUUGAAAAUCAAUUCCCGGUACCCGAAACCGACACAGGUGGGCAAGUAGAGAAUACUAAGGGGCGCGAGGUAACUCUCUCCAAGGAACUCGGCAAAAUGACCCCGUAACUUAGGGAGAAGGGGUGCCACCGAGAGGUGGUCGCAGUGAAGAGGCCCAGGCGACUGUUUAGCAAAAACAUAGGUCUCUGCAAACUCGAAAGAGGAGGUAUAGGGGCUGACGCCUGCCCAGUGCCGGAAGGUUAAAGAAGUUGGUCAGUCUUAGGAUGAAGCUAGCGACUGAAGCCCCGGUGAACGGCGGCCGUAACUAUAACGGUCCUAAGGUAGCGAAAUUCCUUGUCGGGUAAGUUCCGACCCGCACGAAAGGCGUAACGAUCUGGGCGCUGUCUCGGAGAGAGGCUCGGCGAAAUAGGAUUGUCUGUGAAGAUACGGACUACCUGCAUUUGGACAGAAAGACCCUAUGAAGCUUUACUAUAGCUUGGAAUUGUGUUCGGGCUUCCUGUGCGCAGGAUAGGUGGGAGGCGUAGAAGGUAUUCUUGUGGGGAUACUGGAGCCAACGGUGAGAUACCACUCUCAGGAGGCUAGAAUUCUAACUUAAUUAAGGACAGUUUCAGGUGGGUAGUUUGACUGGGGCGGUCGCCUCCAAAAAGGUAACGGAGGCGUACAAAGGUUCCCUCAGACUGGUUGGAAAUCAGUCGAAGAGUGCAAAGGCAGAAGGGAGCUUGACUGCGAGAAGUACAGUUCGAGCAGGGUGGAAACACGGUCUUAGUGAUCCGACGGUGCUGUGUGGAAGGGCCGUCGCUCAACGGAUAAAAGUUACUCUAGGAUAACAGGCUGAUCUCCCCCAAGAGUUCACAUCGACGGGGAGGUUUGGCACCUCGAUGUCGGCUCAUCGCAACCUGGGGCGGAAGUACGUCCCAAGGGUUGGGCUGUUCGCCCAUUAAAGCGGUACGUGAGCUGGGUUCAGAACGUCGUGAGACAGUUCGGUCCAUAUCCGAUGUAGGCGUGAGAAUAUUGAGAGGAGCCUUCCUUAGUACGAGAGGACCGGGAAGGACGCACCGCUGGUGUACCUGUUAUGAUGCCAAUUGUAAACGCAGGGUAGCCAAGUGCGGAGAGGAUAACCGCUGAAAGCAUCUAAGUGGGAAGCCCACCUCAAGAUGAGUAUUCUGGUGUAAGGUCACGGGAAGACGACCCGUAAAUAGGCACGAGGUGGAAGUGCAGAGAUGUAUGAAGCCGAAGUGUACUAAUAGACCGUCGGCUU
Molecule: ribosomal RNA, 1321 nt
Filed under: metagenome
Description: bacterial LSU rRNA
Rfam family: Bacterial large subunit ribosomal RNA
Source: RNAcentral